This 484-nucleotide ribosomal RNA is filed under the name uncultured bacterium. Its description in RNAcentral is "partial 16S ribosomal RNA". It matches the Rfam family "Bacterial small subunit ribosomal RNA", at positions 30 to 507 of the family's 1533-position model. The record is from RNAcentral.
AUUGAACGCUGGCGGCAGGCCUAACACAUGCAAGUCGAGCGGAUGAAGGGAGCUUGCUCCUGGAUUCAGCGGCGGACGGGUGAGUAAUGCCUAGGAAUCUGCCUGGUCGUGGGGGAUAACGUCCGGAAACGGGCGCUAAUACCGCAUACGUCCUGAGGGAGAAAGUGGGGGAUCUUCGGACCUCACGCUAUCAGCUGAGCCUAGGUCGGAUUAGCUAGUUGGUGGGGUAAAGGCCUACCAAGGCGACGAUCCGUAACUGGUCUGAGAGGAUGAUCAGUCACACUGGAACUGAGACACGGUCCAGACUCCUACGGGAGGCAGCAGUGGGGAAUAUUGGGCAAUGGGCGAAAGCCUGAUCCAGCCAUGCCGCGUGUGUGAAGAAGGUCUUCGGAUUGUAAAGCACUUUAAGUUGGGAGGAAGGGCAGUAAGUGAAUACCUUGCUGUUUUGACGGUACCAACAGAAUAAGCACCGGCUAACUACGUG